GUAUCCGUAGUCUAAUUGGAUAAAACAGCGCCCUCCGACGGCGCCGUUCCGAGUUCAAAUCCCGGCGGGUACACCA
RNAcentral lists this transfer RNA (76 nucleotides) under Clostridia bacterium. RNAcentral describes it as "tRNA-Arg". It matches the Rfam family "tRNA". From Rfam's summary of the family: Transfer RNA (tRNA) molecules are approximately 80 nucleotides in length. Their secondary structure includes four short double-helical elements and three loops (D, anti-codon, and T loops). Lineage: Bacteria; Bacillati; Bacillota; Clostridia. The record is from RNAcentral.